Molecule: ribosomal RNA, 530 nt
Filed under: Colletotrichum gloeosporioides
Lineage: Eukaryota; Fungi; Ascomycota; Sordariomycetes; Glomerellales; Glomerellaceae
Description: eukaryotic LSU rRNA
Rfam family: 5.8S ribosomal RNA (bases 184-337)
Source: RNAcentral
AGGGAUCAUUACUGAGUUUACGCUCUACAACCCUUUGUGAACAUACCUAUAACUGUUGCUUCGGCGGGUAGGGUCUCCGCGACCCUCCCGGCCUCCCGCCUCCGGGCGGGUCGGCGCCCGCCGGAGGAUAACCAAACUCUGAUUUAACGACGUUUCUUCUGAGUGGUACAAGCAAAUAAUCAAAACUUUUAACAACGGAUCUCUUGGUUCUGGCAUCGAUGAAGAACGCAGCGAAAUGCGAUAAGUAAUGUGAAUUGCAGAAUUCAGUGAAUCAUCGAAUCUUUGAACGCACAUUGCGCCCGCCAGCAUUCUGGCGGGCAUGCCUGUUCGAGCGUCAUUUCAACCCUCAAGCUCUGCUUGGUGUUGGGGCCCUACAGCUGAUGUAGGCCCUCAAAGGUAGUGGCGGACCCUCUCGGAGCCUCCUUUGCGUAGUAACUUUACGUCUCGCACUGGGAUCCGGAGGGACUCUUGCCGUAAAACCCCCAAUUUUCCAAAGGUUGACCUCGGAUCAGGUAGGAAUACCCGCUGAA